UACGGAGGAUCCAAGCGUUAUCCGGAUUUAUUGGGUUUAAAGGGUGCGUAGGCGGCCUGUUAAGUCAGGGGUGAAAGACGAUGGCUCAACCAUCGCAGUGCCUUUGAUACUGACGGGCUUGAAUGCAGCUGAGGUAGGCGGAAUGUGACAAGUAGCGGUGAAAUGCAUAGAUAUGUCACAGAACACCAAUUGCGAAGGCAGCUUACUAAAGUGUGAUUGACGCUGAGGCACGAAAGCGUGGGGAUCAAAC
RNAcentral lists this ribosomal RNA (250 nucleotides) under uncultured bacterium. Its description in RNAcentral is "partial 16S ribosomal RNA". It matches the Rfam family "Bacterial small subunit ribosomal RNA", at positions 524 to 773 of the family's 1533-position model. The record is from RNAcentral.